This 87-nucleotide transfer RNA is filed under the name Pseudomonadota bacterium. RNAcentral's name for it is "Proteobacteria bacterium (groundwater metagenome) tRNA-Leu". It matches the Rfam family "tRNA". Rfam says of the family: Transfer RNA (tRNA) molecules are approximately 80 nucleotides in length. Their secondary structure includes four short double-helical elements and three loops (D, anti-codon, and T loops). Lineage: Bacteria; Pseudomonadati; Pseudomonadota. The record is from RNAcentral.
GCCCGGAUGGCGGAACUGGUAGACGCAAGGGACUUAAAAUCCCUCGGUAGCGAUACUGUGCGGGUUCAACUCCCGCUCCGGGUACCA